RNAcentral lists this transfer RNA (76 nucleotides) under Luteibacter sp. RNAcentral describes it as "tRNA-Glu". It matches the Rfam family "tRNA". Rfam says of the family: Transfer RNA (tRNA) molecules are approximately 80 nucleotides in length. Their secondary structure includes four short double-helical elements and three loops (D, anti-codon, and T loops). Further hydrogen bonds mediate the characteristic L-shaped molecular structure. tRNAs have two regions of fundamental functional importance: the anti-codon, which is responsible for specific mRNA codon recognition, and the 3' end, to which the tRNAs corresponding amino acid is attached (by aminoacyl-tRNA synthetases). tRNAs cope with the degeneracy of the genetic code in two manners: having more than one tRNA (with a specific anti-codon) for a particular amino acid; and 'wobble' base-pairing, i.e. permitting non-standard base-pairing at the 3rd anti-codon position. Lineage: Bacteria; Pseudomonadati; Pseudomonadota; Gammaproteobacteria; Lysobacterales; Rhodanobacteraceae. The record is from RNAcentral. RNAcentral also lists the same sequence under 7 other names.
GCUCCCUUCGUCUAGUGGUCUAGGACACGGCCCUCUCAAGGCUGGAACACGAGUUCGAACCUCGUAGGGAGCACCA